UAUGUUUUGGGGUGUAGAGAGAUGGAUGUGAUGUGUGCAGGGUGCCUCAGUCCCUGGAUGGGUGUAGCAGUGUGUGGUGCUCUGUCUGGGCCUCGUGGUGUGGGAUUGCCAGCCUGCCGGUGUAGUGCAUGGAAAGGGACAUAAUUUAAGACAGUUUAUCAUAUUUAAUUAUUUUGUUUAUUAAUUAAUUUACUAUUAUCAUUAUUUUUAUUUUACGCUCAUCUUUUGUGUUCGGGAGUUCGUUGUUAGUGCUGCUAUUGACAAAAAAAAGGGAGAGAUCGUUUUAUUUCUUAGUGUGGAAAUUGUCGCGGUGUGUCAGGUGCUGAUUGCUGUUGAGAGUCGCAGGUCCCGCCCUCUGGCAUCAAACAGACAAUAAAGAACUAAUAUGUCGCUGUUGCAUUUAUUUCCUUUAACGUAAAUAUGUAAUGAUACGGUUUUAUCUAUGUCUCCUGAUGUUAUGGCACUUUUGGCUAAUUUUUAACUAAUUCUGUUCAUGUCAUUAUCUGAAUACCUAAUAACAAUCAGUAUCCUGCAUGUACUGUCAAAUCUAUCGAAACAUCAGCACGUCUACUGAGUUAUGGAUUUCAAGAGAUUCCGAAUUAUUGCUGUUUCCUUCUGAAUUUUAAUAGGUUCAGAAAAUCUACCAAAAUUGUGCUUCCCGGCAGUUGGAUAUCUAUUACGGUUGUAAGAGAGAGAGAGAGAUAUCAAAUUAAAUAUACAUAAAUUAUAAGGAAAAAAGGAAGAUAAUAGAGACGGAUAAAUAAAUAUAUAAAUACACAAUAAAAUGUAAUACAGAACAAAUUAUGAAGGAAAAGAAAAAAAAUAUAUAUAUAAUUGAAGUGCGCUGAUAAUAACAGCGUGGUGCAGAGGGUACGUUAAUCUGUGGUAGACCCAAGCUGUUUACAUAAUUUAAAGAGUCUACCUGAUUUCAUCCAUGACAAUUAAACAUUUGAUAAUAACGAGAGGCUUCAAGUCACACAAGCUUUUCAAUGACUUCACACAAGGUCAUACAAUAGAUGAAGAAUCGUAGUGUAAACACCGCCGGGACCACUUCAAAUUUGGCGCUUGAAUUGGAGAGAGAGAGAGAGAUGUGGACAUUUUGACAAUUACAAUUACAAUGGCUUAUAACUUAGUUUUACAUGUUCAUGCUUCAUUAUAUUUCACUUGUUUUAUUUUGUAUUAGAAUAGUGUAAUAUGAGAGAAGCUGGAGUAAUUGGAAAUAUAAUUUGUAGGUUUGUGGGUAAUGAGUGCACGCUGACAUAGGAGAGUGAGCGGACGUCAGACACACAGAGGGGUGGUGUUUGAAGGGCGUGCGUGUGCAGCUGCCUUAUUUAACCCGGAUUUUCUCUCAAGACGGUGACACGUGCCAGUGGAAGCUUAAUGGCUGCCGGAAGGUGGUCGUGAGGGCCAGAAACACUUACAAUAUUGACAAAUGACCCACCUGCUGCUUGGCCACCUGGCGGACUGGUCACAGACGCCAUGGUGCAAUAGGAGACUACCCCAUCCCCUGCCUCCUGCCCUGCUCCACCCAGAUGCCAUGACCCAGCAGCGACGCCAUUCCACCUGCUACAUGACACUGGCUGACGCACUCCUGACAUGGCAGCGACAGGAGGCGGAGGGCAGGAGCAAGAGUCGGAUGGUGAAGAAAGGCGUGAUGGCGGAGGUGGUGGCUGUGGAGGGUGUUCGUGCAGGGUACCUCGGCAGGGUCUAGGUUUGCAGUAAACCUCCCUGAAGGUUCCAGAGCUGGUCAGCAAGUGCCCAGUCCAGGCUGUCACAAGACUGUGAUGGUGGACCUUCCACUGAUACUCACUGAAAACAGCUGUGCACUGCCACUCACAGGAAAUGACUACCCCAUCCCCUGCCUCCUGCCCUGCCCCACCCAGACACCAUGGCCCGGCAGCGACACCAUUCCACCUGCUACAUGACACUGGCUGACGCACUCCUGACGUGGCAGUGACAGGAGGCGGAGGGCAGGAGCAAGAGUUGGAUGGUGAAAGAAGGCGGGAUGGCAGAGGUGGUGGCUGUGGAGGGUGUUCGUGCAGGGUACCUCGGCAGGGUCUAGGUUUGCAGUAAACCUCCCUGAAGGUUCCAGAGCUGGUCAGCAAGUGCCCAGUCCAGGCUGUCACAAGACUGUGAUGGUGGACCUUCCACUGAUACUCACUGAAAACAGCUGUGCACUGCCACUCACAGGAAAUGGGCCUGAUGUGAAGGUGUCUGCAGCCAGUGUUUGGUGUCCUCUGUGCCUGCCUGGUGGUGCCUCAUUGCAGGGCCUGAUGUGAAGGUGUCUGCAGCCAGUGUUUGGUGUCCUCUGUGCCUGGUGGUGCCUCAUUGCAGGGCUGAUGUGAAGGUGUCUGCAGCCAGUGGUGGGUGUCCUCUGUGCCUGGUGGUGCCUCAUUGCAGGGCUGAUGUGAAGGUGUCUGCAGCCAGUGGUGGGUGUCCUCUGUGCCUGGUGGUGCCUCAUUGCAGGGCUGAUGUGAAGGUGUCUGCAGCCAGUGGUGGGUGUCCUCUCUUCCUGGUGGUGCAGCCUGAUGUGCUGCCUGCUUCAGUGUAAAUCUUGCAAGCCAGAUCUGCCAGCUGUCUCCAGUGUAGUAGUCUAGGGUGCUUUGCUUUGUGUCUUUGGCAAUAAAUAAAUUUGUGAGUAUCAUUCUCAUGUGAAUUAUAUAGUUUGAUAAAAUUACAGAAUGUGCUUGAUAAAAUUACAGAAUGUGCUUGGGUAAACUAAAUUUAUAUAUUGGUGGUAAACAAUUCAUGCAUCCCCAAGUAAAUAAAUAAAAUAAAAUAAAUAGGACCCAAAACAAUAGAUACAAUAGAUCAUCCUCUGGUCAAAAAAAAAAAAGCCAGGAUUGGCCCAUUUUUGGCUAAGUUUAAGGUG
Long non-coding RNA from Scylla paramamosain (green mud crab), 2872 nucleotides. RefSeq lists it as uncharacterized. The record is from RefSeq and is a predicted model, not a curated record. NCBI's taxonomy places the organism in Eukaryota, Metazoa, Arthropoda, Malacostraca, Decapoda, Portunidae. The transcript has 6 exons.